This 310-nucleotide long non-coding RNA is filed under the name Brassica napus (rape). RNAcentral describes it as "long non-coding RNA (BNAP_LNC013975)". The record is from RNAcentral. Lineage: Eukaryota; Viridiplantae; Streptophyta; Magnoliopsida; Brassicales; Brassicaceae.
UUUGAUAAACAAUUACUAUCAUACAUUACUUAAGAACAUGAUGAACAAACUUUCCAUAAAAAAUCAUAUCAUUCAUUCUCCUAAGAAUACGAUGAACGAACUUUCCAUAAACAAAUUCAAUUCAAGCAUAACUCGAUCAAAUUGAAUCAAAUCAGACAAAACAGUUCUUAUUGGACUGCCACAAAUCACAUCCUCACCUUAGCUGAAUCUCUAGGAUUCGAAGACUAUGAAUUUCCUGCAUUUCUGACGAAGAACUCUUUAGCUCCUCCCCGUUCGAUCCCUCUUCUCAAACUUCUAUCUCUACCAACUC